CCUACGGGAGGCAGCAGUGGGGAAUAUUGCACAAUGGGCGAAAGCCUGAUGCAGCGACGCCGCGUGAAGGAAGAAGGAUUUCGGAAUGUAAACUUCUAUCAGCAGGGAAGAAAGUGAACGUAGCUAACUAAGAAGCACCGGCUAGCUCCGGGCCAGCAGCCGCGGUAAUACGUAGGGGGAGAGCGUUAGCCGGAUUUACUGGGGGUAACGGGAGCGUAGGCGGUUUAGCAAGUCAGGAGUGAAAGCCCGGCGCUCAACGUCGGGACUGCCUUUGAAACUGUUGAACUGGAGUGCAGGAGAGGUUAGUGGAAUUCCAGGUGUAGCGGUGAAAUGCGUAGAUAUCAGGAGGAACACCAGUGGCGAAGGCGACUUACUGG
This 377-nucleotide ribosomal RNA is filed under the name uncultured bacterium. Its description in RNAcentral is "partial 16S ribosomal RNA". It matches the Rfam family "Bacterial small subunit ribosomal RNA", at positions 338 to 732 of the family's 1533-position model. The record is from RNAcentral.